UCAUAUGCUUGUCUCAAAGAUUAAGCCAUGCAUGUCUAAGUACGUGCCUAAGAAAGGUGAAACCGCGAAUGGCUCAUUAAAUCAGUUAUGGUUCCUUAGAUCGUACCUUACUACUUGGAUAACUGUGGUAAUUCUAGAGCUAAUACAUGCAGCAGAGCUCCGACCUUCGGGGACGAGCGCUUUUAUUAGACCAAGACCAAUCGGACCUCGGUCCGAAGCUCAUGGUGACUCUGGAUAACUUUGGGCUGAUCGCACGGUCUCGUACCGGCGACGCAUCUUUCAAGUGUCUGCCUUAUCAACUUUCGAUGGUAGGUUAUGCGCCUACCAUGGUCGUAACGGGUAACGGGGAAUCAGGGUUCGAUUCCGGAGAGGGAGCCUGAGAAACGGCUACCACAUCCAAGGAAGGCAGCAGGCGCGCAAAUUACCCACUCCCGGCACGGGGAGGUAGUGACGAAAAAUAACAAUACGGGACUCUAUUGAGGCCCCGUAAUUGGAAUGAGUACACUCUAAAUCCUUUAACGAGGAUCUAUUGGAGGGCAAGUCUGGUGCAGCUCCAAUAGCGUAUAUUAAAGUUGUUGCGGUUAAAAAGCUCGUAGUUGGAUCUCAGUUCCAGACGGGUGGUCCACCCCUGGUGGUUACUGCCUGGCCUGAACAAAUUCAGCCGGUUUUCCUUGAUGCUCUUCACCGAGUGUCUUGGGUGACCGGCACGUUUACUUUGAAAAAAUUAGAGUGCUCAAAGCAGGCGUGACGCCUGAAUAAUGGUGCAUGGAAUAAUGGAAUAGGACCUCGGUUCUAUUUUGUUGGUUUUCGGAACACGAGGUAAUGAUUAAGAGGGACAGACGGGGGCAUUCGUAUUGCGACGCUAGAGGUGAAAUUCUUGGACCGUCGCAAGACGAACUACU
Molecule: ribosomal RNA, 902 nt
Filed under: Surazomus sp. MCZ IZ-132980 106341
Lineage: Eukaryota; Metazoa; Arthropoda; Arachnida; Schizomida; Hubbardiidae
Description: SSU rRNA
Rfam family: Eukaryotic small subunit ribosomal RNA
Source: RNAcentral